Molecule: long non-coding RNA, 424 nt
Organism: Populus euphratica (Euphrates poplar)
Lineage: Eukaryota; Viridiplantae; Streptophyta; Magnoliopsida; Malpighiales; Salicaceae
Exons: 2
Source: RefSeq, a predicted model, not a curated record
AUCAAUGAGGGGGAGGUGGAAGACCUUCUGACAUAUACGUGGGAAAAUUGGAAUAGCGGACCAUAUUUAGAUAAGCUGAUGGAUCCGACAUUAAGGGGUGGCUCAAGAAAUGAAAUGUUGAGAUGCAUCCACGUUGGUUUACUAUGCGUGCAGGAAAAUGCACUUGAUAGACCAAACAUGGCUUCAGUUGUUAUCAUGCUAAGUACUUACUCCGUCACUCUUCCAGUACCUCAGAAGCCUGCGUUUUUUGCUCACAGUACGGUACUGUCUGGGACAACAUCAACUUGGACCGAGUCAGAUCAAUCCCGAAGUGCAUCUGUCCCAUGUUCAAUCAAUGAGGCUUCAAUCACUGAACUCUACCCUCGGUAGAGUUUGCGGAUGGAGGGUCCACCGUUAAGCAUGCUAUAAUUUGUUCUGUAUCUCA